This 72-nucleotide transfer RNA is filed under the name Camelus bactrianus (Bactrian camel). It matches the Rfam family "tRNA". From Rfam's summary of the family: Transfer RNA (tRNA) molecules are approximately 80 nucleotides in length. Their secondary structure includes four short double-helical elements and three loops (D, anti-codon, and T loops). Further hydrogen bonds mediate the characteristic L-shaped molecular structure. tRNAs have two regions of fundamental functional importance: the anti-codon, which is responsible for specific mRNA codon recognition, and the 3' end, to which the tRNAs corresponding amino acid is attached (by aminoacyl-tRNA synthetases). tRNAs cope with the degeneracy of the genetic code in two manners: having more than one tRNA (with a specific anti-codon) for a particular amino acid; and 'wobble' base-pairing, i.e. permitting non-standard base-pairing at the 3rd anti-codon position. RNAcentral also lists the same sequence under 2 other names. Lineage: Eukaryota; Metazoa; Chordata; Mammalia; Artiodactyla; Camelidae. The record is from Rfam by way of RNAcentral.
GAGGGUAUAGCUCACUUGGAGAGCGUGUGCCUUGCAUGCAUGAGGUCCUGGGUUCAAUCCCCAAUACCUCCC